GAUGAAGAACGUAGCGAAAUGCGAUACGUAAUGUGAAUUGCAGAAUUCAGUGAAUCAUCGAGUCUUUGAACGCACAUUGCGCCCCCUGGUAUUCCGGGGGGCAUGCCUGUCCGAGCGUCAUUGCUGCCCUCAAGCCCGGCUUGUGUGUUGGGUCUCGUCCCCCUUCCCGGGGGGACGGGCCCGAAAGGCAGCGGCGGCACCGCGUCCGGUCCUCGAGCGUAUGGGGCUUUGUCACCCGCUCUGUGGGCCCGGCCGGCGCUUGCCGAUCAACCAAAACUUUUUUCCAGGUUGACCUCGGAUCAGGUAGGGAUACCCGCUGAACUUAAGCAUAUCAAUAAGCGGAGG
This 345-nucleotide unclassified non-coding RNA is filed under the name soil metagenome. RNAcentral describes it as "partial contains 5.8S ribosomal RNA, internal transcribed spacer 2, and large subunit ribosomal RNA". The stretch from base 1 to 120 matches the Rfam family "5.8S ribosomal RNA", at positions 35 to 154 of the family's 154-position model. The record is from RNAcentral.